CAUGGAAUUAUGAUGCAAAGGAAGAGAAAUGGUGUGAAACCAGAGAUGCCCUCAGCAGAAGAAAGAAAGACAAUCUUGGAAUCAAUGGGGAAGCCCUACUGACUAGAAAUCUGAAUUGAUUGACUUGUUGUCACUGUACAUAUGAAGACUUGGCAGCAGCAAGUUACCAUUUUAUGAACUGGAUUUUACAGUUGCCAUAUGUUGGAUUAAAAUAAGAUCUUAAAUUUUGAAAUGUGGGAGCUUUCUAGGAUAGAAUUUCCUGGGUUUGUUCCUACUUCCUGUCAUAGGAACCUGGCCUCUUUUAUUGGAAGAUACGGGUCUCAAUGCAACUUGUGUAGAAACUUUUGGAAGUAGAAACUACCUUGCUGUGAAAUGCUAAAUAUAAAAUCAAUGGGACUUGAAGAAAGCCUGUUUGAAAACAUGGGUUGGUGAGCAUUGCAGUGUUGUUCUAAGGCUGGAGCAAGUCGAGAAGCUGUGCAAGGCCUUGUCUGGCUCAGAGUCUUCUGCUACCACAAUUGGGAUGAGUCUGUGCUCUUGGAGAUCUUCAAAGGAAGUUCACAGAAUUGCAGAGUAUGCUGAUUUGGAAAAGACCCACAAGGAUCAUUGAAUCCAAGUUGUCUAGCUCUAGAGUCCUGAAAAUUUCUUUGGAUUUAGCUGAAGCGUUUGAAAGGCAAGGAGUUGAAUCAACUGCUGCUCCAAGUCUCUUUCAUGAUCUUGUAAUGGAACUUUUGCACUCAGGCUUCUACCUUGAUGACUCCUAUCUCAAAAUCCUUUUUUGGAAGAAUGGUUCUGAAGAUCCUCAAUCAUUACUUGCUCUUAAAAGUCCCACUACCCUUGAGCUGUGUCUUUACCUGUUUUACUUCAAUAAACUGCUAUGCACUGCAAACACUUCCUGAUAUCAAGUGACUGGCAGAACACAACAGAAUUCUGCAUAGAACAAAACUGAGCUAGUGUCUGUCAAAAUGGAAAACAAUUGUAACAGGGUUAUGUGUAAUGACAAAGAUUAUGCUCAAGAUACUGUAUUUAGUCAAUACCUCAUUUCUAAAAGCAAUUCACAGCUCUAAGACAAAUUUACAAUAGUAGAAAUAGUGUAGGGACAAUAGGGGCCAUCAGCUCACACCUGACUUUGAAGAAUCUCAAAAUUUUUAAUUGAUGAUAAAAGAUUGCAGUUGUUUAGGCAAAAAAAGAUUUUGCAGUGUUUUUAUGGAAAUAGCCUGCUGGUAAUAUUUUGUUACUGUGUCACACAUGGAUCUCACAUUUUUGUUUCCCUGAAAUGGGGUUCCCUGAGCAGUCCUUGUCUGCAACGUUGCCUGCAGCUGUUGAAGCUGUCAGUGAAUGUGGUUGCAUAUUACAAAUAGGGUGGCAUUUUCUCCUAUUUUUAUUAAAUAGUGGAAUUGAAUGAACUUGCUGCAUUGGAAUAUGUCAGUCAUAUAGUGCUUGCUUCAAUCUAUAAAUUACAAAAGGAUGGAAUGAAGCUAACAAGAUAAAUCCUUAGGCAGGAGGUGCACUGUGAAUUUACCUUAUCCUGCAAUAUCAGUUUUGAGUACUUUCUGGCUGAAUUUUUCCUAAUGCUGAAUGAAUUUGAAUGGAUGUUACUGAUAAUCCAAGAAAUGCUGUGUUUCAGUAUUUAUCUAUGUGACAGGUAAACUAAAGUGGUUCUUAAAGCUGAUAGCUCAAGAUGUUGGAAAAACCCUUUUGACUUUCAGAUUGAAAAUGAACAGGUCUUGAGGGUUCUAUACCUGUUGACUGUUGUGUUUAGACAUCAAAAGUCUAUGGAUGACAGAAACUUUGAUCCCAGAAGUCUCUGGUGCUUCAUGUUCUACCUUGCACUUUGGUGCUGACAGUGCUGAUGGACUGCUUGUCCCUGCCUCAACACUGCUGGGAUUUAGGGAAAAAAUAUUUCACCAGCCUUGAGGAUUGACUGUGAAGUCUUCUAGGGUGUAGGUGAACAGAAGGAAAUUUAUUUUUCUGCAAGGCAUUGUUUGAAUGGCCAUCUUUACAGUAAUUCCCUUCAGUAACUGCUGUUCCAUGUCCCUUCUUCCUCCCUCCAGCAGGUGCCUCUGUGUGAUCCUCAGCAUCAGUGCUAACACAGACCUCUACCCUGGGGCAUGUAUCCAGCUGCCCAAUAGCAAAGGGAAAAGGGGAUAAGCAUUGUUCUUCAGCCCAGCUGGACCUCUGAGCACCUCUCUUGUGUCCCUGGGCUGGAAGGGACAAUGUAGGGGUCUGAGUAAGCAGCAAAAUACAGGAAGCAAAUGCUCAAGUCACAGCUGCUCUCACAAGUCAGAAGAGGCUUUCUGUGCUUGAAAAAAGGCUUAGCUGUUCAAAGCUGUGAGCACUCAGGGAUUGUGAUUCUUAAACUCAGAGCUGUAAGACUGGGUCCAGCUGUUACCCUGGCAUUACCCAGUCCACUAUCAAACCCUGUCCCUGAGCACCACAUCUACACAUCAUUCCAAUAGCUCCAGGAAUGGUGACUCCCCCGCUCCCUUGGGCAGCCUCUUCCAAUGGUUGGCAACCCUGUUGGUGAAGAAAAUUUUCCAAGUCUCCAAUCUAAAGCUUCCCCUGGCAAAACAUGAGGCCUUUUCCUCUUGUUUGUUACUUGGGAGAAGAAACUGACUCUCACCUCAUUACAAGCUGCUUUCAGGUUGUUGCAAAGAGCAAUGAGGUUCCCCCAUUGGGCCUCCUUUUCUCCUGGCUAAACAACCCCAGUUCCAUUAGCUGCUUCUCAUAAAAACUUGUGCUCUAGACCCUUCUUGAAGAAUGCCUAGCCUUCCUGGACUUGUUUGCCCUUCUGGACUACUUCCAAAGCAGUGGUAUCAACCAGGCUCCUAAACAGACCAAAAUCUGUCCAGGGGGUGUCCAAUGUGGCAGUUCUGCUGGACACAUCUCCCUCCUACCCCUCUGCUCCCUUCUCUGAGAAUCAAAAACUCAUCUCAUGAUUGCAUGCCCCAGAUAGUUUCCAACAGUCCUUUUCUGUUCACAAACAACGAGGGUGUCUUCCCUAGUUGGCUCCUUCAUCAGCUGUGUUAGGAAGUUUUCUUCCACACUCCAGGAAUGUCCUGGGCUAUUUUCUCUCUGCUGUGCUUUAUGAGGUGGCAAGUAGAUAGAACCUAGAAGGAACCAUGGUCUCCUAGCACCUUCAGCCAGGCAGUCUAAAUAGUCUUUACAGUGUGCUCAUCUGUUUUGUCAUAGAUGUGCUCACACUGCAAUUGCAUGUUGCAAGCAUAUGUGUAUGAGGAGCAGAAAACUACGGAAAAGGCUCGCUGGUAGGUCUUUACUUACAUCUGCAUCAAAAGCAGCUUUCAGGUUUCUGUCCUUUAAAUUUUAAUGUUCAAAACCCUGAGAAUCAAUUACAAUAAUAACACUUCAGUUCUUUUACUGUCGCUGUGAGACAAGAAGAGUUCAUGAAAUGCUUUGGUUUUCUGUGCUGUAGGAAAAUUUCCAGCCAGGAGUUGGUAGAAAGCAUCAGUAUCUCUUUCUCCUCCAGUUUGGCAGCUGCAGGAAAUCAGCCUGCCAGAAAAGCUGCUAUAAAGCUGGAUGUUAGCAAACAGGCAGCUGCUCCUUGAGUCAGGGAAAUCUCAUUCUCUGACCCAAAUGGGUACAGAUCAGCCCAGUUUUGUACAGGUCUGGAAAUGCAGGCUGCUCAUUUUUGGUUGUGCUGGUGAGGUCAUUUGUUGCUGAUUAUUGCUACCAAUUGGCCUCUGUAAAGCCCCAAGAAGCUGACACUGUUUCUAAAAUCAGAGCAAUUUGCUAACUUAAAAUACUGAUUCAUUUGAUUAAUUUGGUUUUGUUCAUAUCCUUUCUUGGGUCUAGAAUUGCUGUUUACUUGUAGAAAAUUAUUCUCUGGGCAAGCUUUUCCUCAUGAUUUAUUUCCAGUUCAGCUUUCACAUUGCUAGAUUCUGCACCAACCCAAGAGAAAAUACAUUUGCUGUUCAGUAAGUGAUUAAUACCAUUGAUGAGAUGUGCCUAACGUAGGAGGUUCACAGAUGUUCUUGCACAAGCCUUUAGAGGGACAUUCAACAUGUGGCAUUGCAGGAACAUACUCAGCAAAUCGCUAGGUAAGGAAAUUGACUUAAUAAACCUCUUUUCAUCAAACUAGUUGGAACCAAAUUAGGUACUUUGCUGAGAAAUUUUUGUUCAUUAGUGCAGUAUAAUUUGCUGUUUACCAAGCUCUGGUUCAGGCAGUGUUUGUGAGGGGACGGCACGGUGGUGUUGGGAGGAGGUUUCCUGCUGGAAGAGGGCAGCUCUGCUGGGAGUGCAACGGUGCUUGCUGCAGAGAUGCUCCUCCCCUGGGUCCUUAAGGAAGGGACACAACACAUUGCUACACAACCCAUCCCAAAGAAAUCGCUUGACAUGAAAACCAAAGAAAGCUGAGCUGUUUGGUAGCCUGUUUGCUGCUUUUCAUUUCAUCAGUGAUAAACACCAGAGAUAAGCUAAAGUAGGAAACUGUCAGAAUAGCAGAAGGCAUCCUAGGACUCUGCUUCCAGUCUCAUAAUUAUUUCUGGGGUUUCUAACAAGGGGUACCAUUCACUGUGCUACCUUCACAUGCAUAAACCCUUUUGUGGGUAGUGAAUGUGUUGGCAUAUGCAGAGUUCUUUCAAAAGUCCAUAUUCAAUACAGAUUUCAACAUCUGGACAACUAGUUAUCUCUCUGUAUCCCCAAGUAGCACAGAAGUUGGCCAUGUUUUAUAAUUAAGUGAUUUCUCCAAAGAGAGAUUAUUGCAGGAAAAGGAAAUUCUUCUUCCAUCAGAAGUUGCACCCUGAAUCUUUUUCUCUCCUGGAAGAUACGUGUGGUAUUUGGGAUAUGCUUUUCUUCACAGUGGAUCUUGGAUUAAGGAUCAUGUGCUUUGGAUUUUGCCUAACAGGUGGCCUGUCAGGUAGCUCACAGGUAAUGUUGACUCCCACAGUAUUUAUCCAAAUGACCUUAAAAUGACUUAUUCAAAGAAACAAAAUGAAGGUCAUAGCCUUUCCCACUUCAACCCCCCCACUCCAAUAGCUGAAGUAGUGACAUCUAAUAUUGGUUUGCCAGAUUAUUUAAUGUAAUGUCACAAGAGACCCUACCUAACAAAACAGUAGUCAGCAAAUGCUAGAUAAUGUAAUAAGUGUAGAAAUAAUAAAGUGGUGUCAUGGGUGGUGAAACACAGGGCUUUUGGAUGCCUUACUCUAAGAAAAGCUAUGAUAAGGAACUGCCCUCAUAAUAAGGUAUGAAACUGUCAUUCUGGCAGUCUAGUAAGCUCUGUUUGACACUGGGAGAAUGAUACCUACCCAGGAACAGCAGGACAUAAUAAAGAGUUCCUGUACUACAAAUAAGGGUAAUAUAAACAAAGUUUUCCUCCUAUGCAUUUCUUAAACUACUUAUGGUAUUUAUGCAGAUCAUAUUACUAGUACCUUUUUUCCUCAGGUACUAAAAACCCCUAAUUCUUGAGAGAAAAAAUAAAGAUGUUUGUCAGUAGCUUGGUGCUUCUUAUGCAUCUGCCUUGAAUUUUUCCCUGCUAUGGAGGACAGCUAAGAUUUAAUUAACUACAAGCAGAAAAAGAACUUUUAAAUUCCUCAUAAAGACCAAAUUCUCCCAGCUGGGCUGAAAAAAACCCCAAAAAUAUGCAAACAAUGGCAGUUAAUGGCAUUUCCAAAUAGGCCUUCUCUAAUCCUAUUAUCAAGAUGGGUAAUUUGUACCUUUACCAAUAGUUUAAUCCCACUCCUCAUGUUCUUACACCUUCAUCCAAGU
This 5721-nucleotide long non-coding RNA is filed under the name Camarhynchus parvulus. RNAcentral describes it as "lncRNA (ENSCPVG00000018131.1)". The record is from RNAcentral. Lineage: Eukaryota; Metazoa; Chordata; Aves; Passeriformes; Thraupidae.